This 1356-nucleotide ribosomal RNA is filed under the name metagenome. RNAcentral describes it as "SSU rRNA". It matches the Rfam family "Eukaryotic small subunit ribosomal RNA", at positions 401 to 1823 of the family's 1831-position model. The record is from RNAcentral.
AAACGGCUACCAUCGCUAAGGCGAGCAGCAGGCGCGCAACUUAUCCACUGUCCACUCGGACGAGAUAGUGACGAGAAAUAACAAGCCCGUUCUCUUUGAGGUCGGGCAUUGGAAUGGACCGAAUGUAAACGAUUCGGUGAGUACCCACGAGAGGGCAAGUCUGGUGCCAGCAGCCGCGGUAAUUCCAGCUCUCGUAAUGUAUAGAAUUAUUGUUGCGGUUAAAAAGUUCGUAGUUGGAUUUCAUACCGCCAGUGGGUCGUGCCUAACGGUGCGUACUCGCGGCGGUGUUUAUGCCGGGGCGGGCUUGCCUGCCCCAGCAUGGAUUACUUUGAACGGCUUAAGUGCUCAAGGCGGGUCUUCGGACUGAAUACCGGUGCAUGGAAUAAUGGAACAAGGUUUCGGCCGAGUUUUAUUGGUUUUGUCGGCUGAGACAAUGGUUAACAGGAACAGCUGGGGGCACUCGUAUCCCGGCGCGAGAGGUGAAAUUCGUGGACCGUCGGGAGACGCCCUAAAGCGAAGGCAUUUGCCAAGAGUGUUUUCAUUAAUCAAGAACGAAAGUCAGAGGUUCGAAGGCGAUUAGAUACCGCCCUAGUUCUGACCGUAAACGAUACCAACUAUCAAUCCGCCAGUAGCUUUUGGUUAUUGGCGGGCGGAUCGACGGAAACGAAAGUUUUUCGGUUCCGGGGGAAGUAUGGUUGCAAAGCUGAAACUUAAAGGAAUUGACGGAAGGGCACCACCAGGAGUGGAGCUUGCGGCUUAAUUUGACCCAACACGGGAAACCUCACCCGGCCAGUACAUCAUAAGGAUUGACAGAUUGAAAGCUCUUUCAUGAUUUGAUGAAUGGUGGUGCAUGGCCGUUCUUAGUUCGUGGCGUGAGUCGUCUGCUUAAUUGCGAUAACGAGCGAGACUCCGACUGUUAAAUAGCACCCGUUUCUUUUCGAGCGGGCGGCUUCUUAACUGGAUUCGCGGCUUCAAGCCGCAAGAAAUGGAGCAAUAACAGGUCUGUGAUGCCCUUAGAUGUUCGGGGCCGCACGCGUGCUACAAUGAUGGUAACAGCGUGAUUGUCCUCGCCCGACAGGGCUUGGCAAACAGUUGAGAUAUUAUUAUGGCUGGAAUUGAGUGUUGAAAUUUUCUCUCAUGAACGAGGAAUUCCAAGUAAAUGCGAGUCAUCAACUUGCAUUGAUUACGUCCCUGCCCUUUGUACACACCGCCCGUCGCUAUCCGGGACUGAGUUGUUUCGAGAAAUCUACGGACCGGCCGCUUCUCGCAAGAGACCCGGCUGGAAAGUGAAUUAAUCGCAACGGCUUGAACCGGGUAAAAGUCGUAACAAGGUAUCAGUAGGUGAACCUGCUGAUG